RNAcentral lists this ribosomal RNA (433 nucleotides) under uncultured bacterium. RNAcentral describes it as "partial 16S ribosomal RNA". It matches the Rfam family "Bacterial small subunit ribosomal RNA", at positions 29 to 507 of the family's 1533-position model. The record is from RNAcentral.
AACGAACGCUGGCGGCAUGCCUAACACAUGCAAGUCGAACGAGACCUUCGGGCUUAGUGGCGCACGGGUGCGUAACGCGGGGGAACCUGCCUAUAGGUUCGGAAUAACUCAGAGAAUUAUGAGCUAAUACCGGAUGAUGUCUUCGGUCCAAAGAUUUAUCGCCCUUAGAUGGGCCUGCGUGGGAUUAGCUAGUUGGUGGGGUAAAGGCCUACCAAGGCGACGAUCCAUAGCUGGUCUGAGAGGAUGAUCAGCCACACUGGGACUGAGACACGGCCCAGACUCCUACGGGAGGCAGCAGUGGGGAAUAUUGGACAAUGGGCGAAAGCCUGAUCCAGCAAUGCCGCGUGAGUGAUGAAGGCCUUAGGGUUGUAAAGCUCUUUUACCCGAGAUGAUAAUGACAGUAUCGGGAGAAUAAGCUCCGGCUAACUCCGUG